CAAAAGGCCCUUUUCAGGGCCACCCAUCUUAUCACUUAAAAGGGUU
This is a non-coding RNA of Mesocricetus auratus (golden hamster), 46 nucleotides long. The record is from Rfam. Lineage: Eukaryota; Metazoa; Chordata; Mammalia; Rodentia; Cricetidae.